RNAcentral lists this ribosomal RNA (254 nucleotides) under uncultured bacterium. RNAcentral describes it as "partial 16S ribosomal RNA". It matches the Rfam family "Bacterial small subunit ribosomal RNA", at positions 524 to 776 of the family's 1533-position model. The record is from RNAcentral.
CACGUAGGGGGCGAGCGUUGUCCGGAAUCAUUGGGCGUAAAGAGCUCGUAGGCGGCUCAGUAAGUCGGGUGUGAAACCCCCAGGCUCAACCUGGGGACGCCACCCGAUACUGCUGUGGCUAGAGUCCAGUAGGGGAGUGUGGAAUUCCCGGUGUAGCGGUGAAAUGCGUAGAUAUCUGGAGGAACACCGGUGGCGAAGGCGGCAUCCUGGACCGGUAUUGACGCUGAGGCGCGAAAGCUAGGGGAGCAAACGGG